Non-coding RNA from Labrus bergylta (ballan wrasse), 611 nucleotides. NCBI's taxonomy places the organism in Eukaryota, Metazoa, Chordata, Actinopteri, Labriformes, Labridae. The record is from RefSeq and is a predicted model, not a curated record.
AGAGCCCGGUCUGAGGUCUAGAGAGAGCUCGGUCUGAGGUCUAGAAAGAGCCCAGUCUGAGGUCUAGAGAGAGCCCGAUCUGAGGUCUAGAAAGAGCCCGGUAUGAGGAUCUGAGGUCUAGAGAGAACUCGGUCUGAGGUCUAGAAAGAGCCCGGUCUGAGGUCUAGAGAGAGCUCGGUCUGAGGUGUAGAAAGAGCCUGUUCUGAGGUCUAGAAAGAGCACGGUCUGAGGUCUAGAGAGAGCCAGGUCUGAGGUCCGGUCAGAGAGGGGGACGCAGAUCAGAGAUCACUUUGAUUUUAAAAACUCUUAGAGGGGAAGACGGAGAACUACGGAGACCACAAAGUGACGUGCCCUUUCUAUUUCACCCGACUGUUUCAGUCCCGCUCGUCUUUGUUAAAACAGGUUAUGAUUUUAGCACACGUGUUAUAUUCAUAUUUUGGUUUGUUGUUACUUGAAUAUAUUCCCCCAGCGGCCAUGUUGCUGUGAUGUCACGCUUAGGGUGGGAAGCCCAAAUGUUGUCGUCACAUUUCUCUAAAUCAGAACUAAUGCAACAGGAAGUACGUUCACGCUGCCAGGAGUGGACUCAUAAAUACACGAGCCUUUAAACCAAA